GACGAGGUGGCCGCCAGUGGUUAAGGCGAUGGACUGCUAAUCCAUUGUGCUCUGCACGCGUGGGUUCGAAUCCCAUCCUCGUCG
This 84-nucleotide transfer RNA is filed under the name Perca flavescens (yellow perch). It matches the Rfam family "tRNA". Rfam says of the family: Transfer RNA (tRNA) molecules are approximately 80 nucleotides in length. Their secondary structure includes four short double-helical elements and three loops (D, anti-codon, and T loops). The record is from Rfam by way of RNAcentral. Lineage: Eukaryota; Metazoa; Chordata; Actinopteri; Perciformes; Percidae.